ACACAGUCUUCUAAUAAAAAAUUAACAUCAACAUCAUCAAUUAUUUUGUUAUUAAAGUGGAAAACAAAUGAACGAACAAAGCAAGAGUAAUAAAUUCCGGUGUCACGGGUUGUUGUGUGUGGGAGAGUAUGGAGAUGAGAGAGAAACAAAUUGGAUAAAUAAGAAAAGUGAAUUAGGAUUAGACAAGUGUUUCUGAUUUUUU
This 202-nucleotide long non-coding RNA is filed under the name Vigna radiata. RNAcentral describes it as "long non-coding RNA (VRAD_LNC000276)". The record is from RNAcentral. Lineage: Eukaryota; Viridiplantae; Streptophyta; Magnoliopsida; Fabales; Fabaceae.